AUCCAGUUGACGAGUCUCAAAUAGGAUGAAACGCGAGUCGUGGAU
RNAcentral lists this non-coding RNA (45 nucleotides) under Schistosoma mansoni. Lineage: Eukaryota; Metazoa; Platyhelminthes; Trematoda; Strigeidida; Schistosomatidae. The record is from RNAcentral.